This 166-nucleotide ribosomal RNA is filed under the name uncultured bacterium. RNAcentral's name for it is "partial 16S rRNA". It matches the Rfam family "Bacterial small subunit ribosomal RNA", at positions 355 to 511 of the family's 1533-position model. The record is from RNAcentral.
UAGGGAAUCUUCGGCAAUGGACGAAAGUCUGACCGAGCAACGCCGCGUGAGUGAAGAAGGUUCUCGGAUCGUAAAACCUCUGUUGGUAGAGAAGAACGUUGGUGAGAGUGGAAAGCUCAUCAAGUGACGGUAACUACCCAGAAAGGGACGGCUAACUACGUGCCAC